Molecule: ribosomal RNA, 253 nt
Filed under: uncultured bacterium
Lineage: Bacteria
Description: partial 16S ribosomal RNA
Rfam family: Bacterial small subunit ribosomal RNA
Source: RNAcentral
UACGAAGGGGGCUAGCGUUGCUCGGAAUCACUGGGCGUAAAGGGCGCGUAGGCGGUUCGUCAAGUCCUGUGUGAAAUCCCCCGGCUCAACUGGGGAACUGCACAGGAAACUAGCGGGCUUGAGUUCGGGAGAGGGAAGCGGAAUUCCGGGUGUAGCGGUGAAAUGCGUAGAUAUCCGGAGGAACACCGGUGGCGAAGGCGGCUUCCUGGACCGACACUGACGCUGAGGCGCGAAAGCUAGGGGAGCAAACGGG